Molecule: ribosomal RNA, 635 nt
Filed under: uncultured Marinobacter sp.
Lineage: Bacteria; Pseudomonadati; Pseudomonadota; Gammaproteobacteria; Pseudomonadales; Marinobacteraceae
Description: bacterial SSU rRNA
Rfam family: Bacterial small subunit ribosomal RNA
Source: RNAcentral
CGCCUGGGGAGUACGGCCGCAAGGUUAAAACUCAAAUGAAUUGACGGGGGCCCGCACAAGCGGUGGAGCAUGUGGUUUAAUUCGACGCAACGCGAAGAACCUUACCUGGCCUUGACAUCCAGAGAGCUUUCCAGAGAUGGAUUGGUGCCUUCGGGAACUCUGAGACAGGUGCUGCGUGGCCGUCGUCAGCUCGUGUCGUGAGAUGUUGGGUUAAGUCCCGUAACGAGCGCAACCCCUAUCCCUGGUUGCUAGCAGGUAAUGCUGAGAACUCCAGGGAGACUGCCGGUGACAAACCGGAGGAAGGUGGGGAUGACGUCAGGUCAUCAUGGCCCUUACGGCCAGGGCUACACACGUGCUACAAUGGCGCGUACAGAGGGCUGCCAACUCGCGAGAGUGAGCCAAUCCCUUAAAACGCGUCGUAGUCCGGAUCGGAGUCUGCAACUCGACUCCGUGAAGUCGGAAUCGCUAGUAAUCGCGAAUCAGAAUGUCGCGGUGAAUACGUUCCCGGGCCUUGUACACACCGCCCGUCACACCAUGGGAGUGGAUUGCACCAGAAGUAGUUAGUCUAACCUUCGGGAGGACGAUUACCACGGUGUGGUUCAUGACUGGGGUGAAGUCGUAACAAGGUAACCGUA